UGAGAUGUCCUCCAAUGGGUAGAUGGUUAAAUGAACUGUGGCACAUCUCUACAAUGGAAUAUUAUUUAGUAAUAAAAAUAAAUGAGCUAUCUAGCUUUGCAAAGACAUGAAAGAAACUUAAAUGCAUACCGCCAAGUGAAAGAAGUCAGCCUGAAAAGGUUACAUAACGCAGGAUUCCAGCUAUAGGACAUUCUGGAAUGUGGAGGCAACUCUAUGGAGACAGUCAAAAGGUCAGCGACAGCCAAGGAUUUGGAAGCAGGGAAUGAAGGAUGAAAAAAUUUGUUAAAAAAAAGAAGACAGGCUACAAUAAAAAGUUAGUGGGGAAGAAAAUUCUAGUUGUUGGCAAUCAUAGGAACCAAGGCGCAGUAUGUGAAAAGGCAAAGCCUACUUCUGCCAGGACAGAACAGCCAGUGAAGAGGAAUGUGAUUGAACAUUUUUUCAUAUCUAUUCUGUGAAUAUAUUUCACUGGAAGUGCCAGUCCAGUGAUUGGUGGAGCAGCCUGGAGCCAGGCAGCAGAAUGAGUCAGUGAAGGAAGACCAAAGAUUUAAAGCCUGCCCAGUCUUUGGCAUUGAAGUUCCUCCUUGGCACACUUCAUACCACUGGAGUGAGGGAUAAGUAACCGGCAGUGCACUGACCAUUAGGGACUGUGACCCUCUCCCAGGUGGACACUUGGCUCCCCCACAACCUGCUCCACCUUGAUCAUGGAGAUUUCCUUUUCUGUACCCAGCAGACACUUAACAUGAAAAAAGGUGUCUCAGUGUCCCCUCAAGUCAUUGGUUCUGGAACGUUCAUAGAAGAUUGACACCACUUCUAACAGUUAUAGAAAAUAAGAUCAUCCCCUUUCAAGGAUUUGGGGUCCUCAUAAGAUUGUGAAUCUAAACUCUGAAGCUCCUUGUGUUUAGUAAGAUAACAGUGGUUGCAGUAGAUUCCAUUUUUUGGUGCUUUGGCAGAUGUUUCACCGACACCCAGUUCUGACCCUGAUAGCAUUGUUGUAAGAUAGGGGCUAGCGUCCCCAUUCCUCACAACAUGAGGAAAUUCGUGUUCUGACAGAUCAGAUCACAUACAACAGCCAUAUAGCUCAUCAAAAUCUUAAACUAAAGAGGUCUGAUGCUUAAACUUUAUUUUCCUCCCAUUCACUGCUCCCUAUAAACUACUUUAUUAUUUAUCUAUAUCUUUCCUUUUGAAGUAGUCACACCAGUUCCUCCUCAUAUUCUAAUCAAGGCAAGACUCACUGCAUUAAGGAAGGCAGUUGCUUGAACCUCUCCAUCUAUGGCUGAAGCUUAGAGAGAGGCAGGCGUGGACCUCUUGAGACGGCCCAGACACAGGUGAUAGGGUCCAGGUGAGACCAGAAAGGGCAGGAGGUGAGCUGGCUAAUGGACUCCCACCAUCCGCCCACGGGGAACCCAGGGGGCCCAGAGGCUCAGAAUUGUUAGCCAGACUAAAAGAGCAUUUUCACUUAUCCCAGGGGAGAGCUAUUUAGCCAGGACAAUUAGGCCAUUUAAACUGACCAUAUUUUGUGUUAAAACCAAGGGAAUUCCUAGUUCAGCCUACCUGGUGUUCUUAACGUUGCUGAGUAAAGACAGUGGUGAGGGAACACUGGAGUCUCCACUUGGCUAGGUGACCAGAGAAGAUACCAGCAACGGUUUCCUAAGCAUCUGUGGACAGCCUAUACUCAUGGGAGGAGACAGUGUAUAGGAAGAGGUGCACAGAGAAGGUAAAAUUCACUGAACAUGAAUGAUGAGACUAUAAUAAAGUUGAAGAUGGAAAGAGGAGGGUCACAGUGUAGGAUGAAACUGUGAACUAUGGGAUAGGGUAACGAUUGCUUCGAUGAGGCAUGUCCAGGCCACACUGGGUCAGCCACCUGGCUAGGGGCUGGGGAGAGGGACUGGGGUGAGGCUGGAGGAGAGGAUGACUCCUUCCUGAAUCCGGAGGGGUGCUAAGGAGUAAGCAGGGCAAAGAUGGACAUAGAAGAGAGUCUUUUAGGACAAAGGGGUAUAUGUCCCAGCACAGUGAUUUAUUUACAUUUACAUUUAAUUCAAAAUAAAUUUAAAUUUAAAUUCAGGAAGAAUGACUUUUUUCAUUUUCAAGGUGAACUAUUUUAGGUAUUCCCACCCUCCAAUCUUCCCCGCACCCCCAUUGAUGAAACAUAUCAAGUUGCUGCAGAAUUUGACUUUCAAAGUCCAACCAAUGUUAUUACCAGUUAAUGUGCUAACCAAUCUCUCGGUAAACACCCCUUUCUGUUCUCUCAAUUUCCUCUGGGUGCCUCACACAGAAAUGCCCUCUGCUAUUCUCUCUGCUUGCUCUAUGUAGCCCUCAGGACUCUGAUGGAACCACACCCCUCUAAGAACUUUUCUGUGAUGCUCUACAGUCUUCUCUUCUCCAUCUCUCACCAUUCUCUGGAUACCAACAAAGCUAUACUCUAAUUUCUAACUAAAGUCCUCUUGUUUAAUGUGUUUAUGAUAGCCCCAGUUCCAGUAUGAGCCCUGGAAGGGACAGUAUUUUUAUUAUAGAAUUCUUGAUUCCCCAACAUAUGUGAACACAAUGGGUCUACUCACACACUUACCAGCUACAGGUACGGUUUCUCACGACUAACUCCAACAAUAUUAGAUUUUCUGCCAUAAAAAAAACAACACUUUGCCAUGUUUGAGAUCUCAUUUUAUCUUAACCAAAUUUCCUCUCCAUUUUUAUUUUAACAACUUAAACUGAUUAGAAGUUGCCUCUAUAACAAUAGAAAGGUCUCAGACUUUACGUACUAGACUUUUCUGAAGGUUAUCUGAGGUGUUUACAGAACACUUUAGAGUUUACUAAAAACUUCUGGAGUCAUUUUUAACUAUUUUUCUAUAACAGACUGAAGUUAUAUCAUCUACCCAUUUGGCAGAUGAGGAUGCUAAGGCAUAAAAAGGAGACAAGGAACAUGAUGCUUUCAAGUGAAGAGGAAAUCUGUGAAGAAAACUCAGGAGGAGAGUGACCAACAGUUGGCACUCAAGAGGUACCAGCUCGAGAGGACUGAGGGAUUUGUUCAACAAGCUGAGCUGGAGAUAAGAAAAAUGAGGCUGAAACACGACAUUUUCCAAGGUCACAUCUCAAUCUGGGUCUCCACAGCAGUGGCAGUGAAAAAGAAGCUAACAACCCCAACCAGAAAUGGUCCCGAUGAUCCUUCCAGGAUGGGAUGUCCUGGCCAGGGACACAGCAUGAUAUCGCCAGCAGGAAGUAGGCUCCUCUGAUAUCAUGAAAGGUGGCUCAGUGACUUCCGAAGUGAUUAGCUCCUAUCCAGAGAUUUUAGAAGCUUUCUUCAUAUUGAGGAGAACACUGAGCUCUCUGAACCACCCCCAGCCUUCACGCCGGCUCUGAAUCACCAAGCCCAGCAACCCCGAAUGCAUGAGUGUUAGAGUCUGAAUUCGUAACUGAGCACAGAAGCACUUCCAGCAAGUUCUGAUCUCGGCAGAAUGAAUUCUCCCCUUUCCCAGUUGGAUCGGAAACCUGCAUCAUCACAGGCUCCCCCAAGUGAUGUGAGUGCACAAUAGGGUCUGGGGAAACCCUAUGCCACACUCUACUUCUGCGGAGAGAAGACACAGACCACUUGUGGAGGCAUCGAGGGAGCUCAGCCUUGCAGUGGAGGCUCCUAGAACUCCCUGGGAACCCGGCAGGAGACAGCUGUCAGCACCCACCCAGCUGCCGAAAGGAAGCCGGGGACCCUUCCUCCUCUAAAGAGGCCCAAUUUCAACGACAUUACAGUGAAGGCUGUUGGGACAGUCUCCCACCUAGUGCUUUGGAGCCCUGACCCACCUCCGAGGUGACCUCACCAUCCUGCCUGGCACCGGGAAGGGCCAGGGACCCGGCUGGGCAGGCGGCGAGACCCGGCUGGCUUCCUGGCCCACUGGCUCCCGUGCAGAGGGUGGCAGGGGGGGGGUCCCCGAUUCUGCCCAGAGCCUUUCCCCUUGCGAGCUCACGUUCCUGCAGCACCUCCCGGCUCCGGCCCCACAAUGCAGCGCUCGGCUGGCAGCGGUUCAGCUGAACACUAAACACUUGGCUCCGUUUCAACACGGCUGCCAAGAUUUGGCAAGCAGAGAGUUGCAGGGAAGCAGCAGGCUGCUAAACCCUUUCACAUUUUUAAUUAGAUCCACACACCCAUGUCUUUGAGCUAUCAUAAAUAUACAGAUGACAUCGAGAGCAUUAUUCGGGGUUAAAAAAAAGGGGGGGAGAGCAAACUCUAUACAAUGGUACAGCUUCCCUUCUUAGAAUGAUUUACUUCUCGUUAGUUUGGGGGCUAAAGGCAAAGAGAGGGGAGUGAUAUUUGCUUCGGCACAACGGUGUCUGAUAGCAGAUCUCCCCAGGAUCUGGAAAGCUCGGGUCUCAGGCCUCCUCGCUGCUGUCCGGGGCUGCAUGAACAUUCACCAGAAGAGGGCAUUCUUGGCGGCAGCUUGGCCUCCUGCAGCCGGAACUCACAGGGUGGAGUGUUUGAGGAGUGGCUGCUAAAGCCACCCCCACCCCCUUCUCUGGGUGACAGCCUUACCAUCCCACAGAGCCAUGAGCUUGGCUCCUCUGCCCUAAAAAGUAGUCACUUUUGCAUUCAACGUUGCUUUAAUACUUUGUCACUGUAUCUCCUCUGGUUUGUCUGCUGGCAUCCUUCACUGUAAAAUAAUUACUGCUGCUCCUUCUUUUUUUCUAAACCUCCUGCCACAACAAACACACUCAGCUCCUUGUGCUCAGAACCACCCUCCCCUGCCUCGCUCAGCUUCUGGGUGAGUCUGAGGUGGGGGAGGGAUGGGAAAUGUAAAUCUUGAGUCCGGUCCGAUGGUCCUGGCUCCCACCCUGGUUCUGCCGUGUGGCCUCGGACACACGAUUCCAGAGACUCUCUCUCGGGUUCCUUCAUCUGAAUGAUGGUGAGUCAGCUCUGACCUCACAGAUUGCACGUGGGCGUUAAAUGACCUCACGCAUGAGCGAGGCCUGUGGCACAGCUGGUGGCACUCCAUCACUAUGGUUACAGGGACUGUGACCCCGGAACACGCGCCUGUCCCAGGGUCAGUGGACCGCAACGGUGGUCAUGCUGGUUCUUCAUGGGAUUCCUGGCCCGUGUCCUGUGGCUCCUCUCCUUUGUGACCAAGACCCCUCUGCUUCCCAGACAACCAGUUCCCGUGAGAUUCACUUGCUGUGGGCCGCCGGCGAAACAGGGUUCAACUUCCAGGCCUCUGCAUCGGUGCGCAUGUCCUUAAUUGUAAAGACAUGUAAAGAAGGAAAUGAAACACUUGACGUGCCAGGAAAGAAGUCUCUCUCAUUGUCCCAUGUGAGAGUACAAAAUUUAUAAAUAGAAGCAUCCCAAGCAUCAAACACGAAGGCAGCAAACCCACAGGCACGUUGGCCUCUCCUCUUUCUCCCCGACUCUGCACACCAUCCGGUCCCUUCUAGAGAAGACUGGAGUCUGCUGUGGGCACCCUUACACCUUCUACCUUGUCCUGCUUUGAUUUUCUCUUUCCCGUCCAGCUUGAAAAUAGAUCAUAUUUGACUGCGGCCACAUUUCCUUUGUGCUUUUUCUGCAAACAAGACAGCCAGACCAGUGAGAUGCCCGGGUCCAUUGAAAUGGGAUGCAGAUCAUUCUAGGCCCAAAGUGCACCUUUCAGUAGAUGCAAACGCUGAGACAGUGGCUAGUGGGCCGCGGCAUUCUCAUGUUCCCCACCAUCCCUCGUCCCAUCUGUGCCCCUACACUGUCCAGUGAUAGGGACUUCCCUUUAAUUAGGAGAUGAAGAAGGAUACAAGCACACACAUAACAAAAACAAAACCACAGCACCUGGAAAUGAAGAGGAGAGUGAUCACCUCCAGCACUGCAGAUGGCAGAGGGACGUGGAACCAGUCAAGCUCCGAUGGGGAUGUAUCGGUGCUCACCAGUAGUUAUGGACACGGAAGAAGCAGUUAAUCACCACAAGAAUAAAACAAGGUAUAACCUGGAUAACAGUCUUCCUGGAACAAAAGGUGUCAGGCUAAGGUCAGUCCUGGUUCCUGAGAUCUUCCUGGCUGCCCCCCCAUGUGUCAUCCCCACCCAUGAGUUGAGGACACCAGGACACACUGACCCUUCUGGUGCCUUCUGUGACCUGGGAAUGGUGGGGUGCAUGAAUGAAUACAUGUAUUUAAUGUCUUGAUUUUAUCCUUUUUAAGUAAACUCUAUACCCACCUUGAGGCUCCAACUCAUGAUGCUGAGAUGAAGAGUCCUAUGUUUUCCUGACUGAGCCAGCCAGGCAUUCCCUGUAUGUAAUGUUUUUAAGGCCAUGUUCGUCUGCUGAGACUGCUAGAACAUGGUGCCACAGACUGGGUGGCUUAAGCAAUGGAAAUUUAUUUUCUACCUGUUACGGAGUCUAGAAGGUCAAGAGCAAGGUGCCAAUCAAUUCGGUUUCUCUUGCAAGUGCUUUUCUGAUGUGCAGAUGACCAGCCUCUCACUUUGUCCUCCGUGGCUUUUCUUUGGGUACAAGCAUGAGGAGGGAGGGAGAGAGACAUCAAGAAGGAGAGACAGAAAGCUUUCUGGACCUUCUUCUUGUAAGAAUGGUGAGUCUGUAGAUCACACCGCUGCCCUUAUGGCCUUUUAUAACAUUGAUUACUUCUGUUGGGGCCCUAUCUCCGAUUAGAGCUCUACUGGGUAUAGGGUUUCAACAUGUGAAUUUUGUGGAGACGUGUGCCUUUAGUCCACAAUAAAAGUGUUUCGUGUGCUGUUGGAAGGACAUGGGGUCACACUGGGAUUCGACUCUCACUCCAGCACCUACUAGGUGUGUGGUCUUAUGCAAGCCAGUUAACCUCUCUGAGCCUUGUUUUUCACAUUUGAAAAACAGGGAUUAAAAAAAAAAAAAACCCUUUCCCAGAGGAAAAUCACACAGAGUGUGAUGACAAAGAAUAGAAGAAAUAAUGCAUGCAGAACACCUGGCCCAGGGAGAUACUCCAAAAUCACAAGCAGCUAGGGUGGGCCCUAGUUGAUAUUAUUUUUUAUCAACACCACCCACAGAGCCCAUCCAAAGUGCUGGCUCUGCAUCACAAAUGUUCUCUGUCCUGAUGCUUGCAUCUCCUAGUCUUUAGCAGCAAUGCUCCCCGGGGUCACCAUGGCAAACAGGAAAUAUAACAGAAUGUCACAGUGGCUUCCAAGGGGUCCAGAGGAAAUCAGUGCCCCUUUCCAUGGCAGUGACUCUCCAUGUCAAUAAUCACUUUAUCAUUAGAGCAUUUUGUAUUAGGCAUUGACACAGUUAAAACAUUAACACAAUCAUGAUUACCUUGGUUGAAACUCCUGCCUAAAGCAAAUGUCCUGCAGGAAAAAGAAACAAAACUAUUUUCUAGAUGCAGAGUCUAGAGUUAAGGGAUCCAAGAUCCCACUGCCAAAAAGUGAUAGAACAUGGGUCCAAACAAAGAAUGAUGGAAUCCCAAAGGCUACACACCCCAGGCUUCACCAUCCUGCCUUGAGCAGCAAUCACAACAAUGACGCUGAAAACCAACCAUCCCAGCCUUGUGCCUGCAACACUAAGCUUUUAUUCUCAUGCUCAUUGUUCUCAGGUUUGCUGUGGCUGGUGUAUGAGCUGGACUUGGUUCAUCUCGACAGCUCGGCUGCAUGUUGUGUAUUGGCUGGGUGAGGUUUUCGGCUGCAGAUGGGAUUCAUGUCCACCCAAUACAGGCUUUCUCUUGGUCCUAGGCUAAAGGAGGGGUGGCCACCCCAACUACACUGAGACAUAAAUCCAAAGAAGAGAAAGCACAUGUAAGGUGUCUGACUGCAUCGUGUCAAUGGCAUUCCAGUGGCUAAGCCAAGUCAUGGCCAAGCCCAACAUCAAAGAGAAGGAAGAAAACUACAUGCACAGUGGUAUGGGUGGGGUCGGGAAAGAGUGAAAUUUAGCUGAACGAUCAUCCAAACUAGUAGGAGUAUCCUGAAAAAAUGACAGACAAAAAAACCCUCUGUGAUCAGAAGGUUGCUCAUCCUCUCUAAGGCCUUUCUAGUGGUUUAAAGCCAGCAUCCAUUCUGUUUGGUUAAGUGUCAUUUCUGCUGGAUCAGUGGCCAAGCUUUACUGACUUUAAAAUAUUUUGACUAUCACCCUUGAUUAUUAAUAUCCAAACCACUAACUUCCUAGGACCUGCAAUCUCCAGCACCACUGAGCCUCGUCAUUCUGAAGGUAGAGCCUUGCCCUUCUACAACAGGGAAGUGGAUACAGUUUUCAGAGCUGAGAAGAUGAGGGUGAUCAUAACGGCUAUAACACUUUCUAAAAGUGUGACUUUGGCCAAAUGGCAUGAUCUAUGUGAAUCUCAGCUCCAAGGAUGUUCACAGGCUGCUAUAAAAGGGGAAGAUUUUGAGGGAAUCUCAUGCCUCAACAACGAAUGGCCAGGAGUGGAAGUUGGUAUCAUGAAAAGUAGGAGAAGACAUAGCAUCGGCCACUACCAGGCCUUUUAUAAUCACUCCACUUCAGUGUCAACUUGAUCCUGAGUUCAUGGCAGCCAAUGCAACAGGACAAUAGAGCAGAUUGUAAACUUGUGUUUUUAUUUUUGUUUUGUUUUUAAGAAAAAAUGGCACACACCAACUCCUCUGGGGAGAGUCGGUUAUCAUCAUGGACAAAGUCCAAAACACUAGGUUUCAGAAUAAAUGCAUACCAAAUUGCAUAUGACUAUUUUCCAUAACGACUCUAAAUAAAAUGCAGAGCUAUAGCAGAACAA
This is a long non-coding RNA of Canis lupus familiaris (dog), 8667 nucleotides long. RefSeq lists it as uncharacterized. Lineage: Eukaryota; Metazoa; Chordata; Mammalia; Carnivora; Canidae. The record is from RefSeq and is a predicted model, not a curated record. The transcript has 11 exons.